ACACAUGCAAGUCGAGGGGCAGCGAGGGAGUGGCAACACUUCCGUCGGCGACCGGCGCACGGGUGAGUAACGCGUAUGCAACCUGCCCUUCACAGGGGGAUAACCGGGAGAAAUUCCGACUAAUACCGCAUACGUCCUCCGGGGGCAUCCCCGGGGGAUGAAAGAAUUAUCGGUGAAGGAUGGGCAUGCGUGAUAUUAGGUAGUUGGCGGGGCAACGGCCCACCAAGCCCACGAUAUCUAGGGGUUCUGAGAGGAAGGUCCCCCACAUUGGUACUGAGACACGGACCAAACUCCUACGGGAGGCAGCAGUGAGGAAUAUUGGUCAAUGGACGAGAGUCUGAACCAGCCAAGUCGCGUGAAGGAAGACGGAACUAUGGUUUGUAAACUUCUUUAGUGCGGGAACAAAGCGGCGUCGUGACGCCUGAUGAGUAUACCGCAAGAAUAAGCAUCGGCUAACUCCGUGCCAGCAGCCGCGGUAAUACGGAGGAUGCGAGCGUUAUCCGGAUUUAUUGGGUUUAAAGGGAGCGCAGGCUGCGAGGCAAGUCAGCGGUCAAAUGUCGGGGCUCAACCCCGGCCUGCCGUUGAAACUGUCCUGCUAGAGUUCGAGUGAGGUAUGCGGAAUGCGUUGUGUAGCGGUGAAAUGCAUAGAUAUGACGCAGAACUCCGAUUGCGAAGGCAGCAUACCAACUCGCGACUGACGCUGAGGCUCGAAAGCGUGGGUAUCGAACAGGAUUAGAUACCCUGGUAGUCCACGCAGUAAACGAUGAAUACUAACUGUUCGGAGGGCGACCUCUGAGUGGUAAAGCGAAAGCGUUAAGUAUUCCACCUGGGGAGUACGCCGGCAACGGUGAAA
RNAcentral lists this ribosomal RNA (853 nucleotides) under uncultured bacterium. RNAcentral describes it as "bacterial SSU rRNA". It matches the Rfam family "Bacterial small subunit ribosomal RNA", at positions 51 to 899 of the family's 1533-position model. The record is from RNAcentral.